GGGCUUCGACGUGAAUAACACUUGGUCAUGGCUGACAUUCGGAUCAGUUUCACAGCCGGUUUCACGGGGCCAAGCUGCGGGCGCGGAGCCAACGUUGGAAUGGAAGCAGCAACCGCCCGGCGGCCUUUUGGCGCAGGUUGGGGCGCCGUGGGAUUUGCCUGGUGCAAGGAGCUUCCCAGCGGAGGCGCCUUGGAGGCUGGAGCGGUCUGCUCGGGUGAGGCAACCCCACAGAAGGGGGAGCUCCCUACCAUCUACGGGGACGUCGGCUAUAGGGAGCGGGGCAGAUCAGCGAGGAGCACCACCGGCCGAACAUACGAGUGCAACCAAGAAGGCCACAUGAGCCGGGACUGUCCUACUGCUCACUGUGGGGGACGACGAGGUUGCAUCAGGUGUGGCGAGGAAGGCCACAUGAGUAGGGAUUGAAUGCAGACACGUAGGCGCGCCACGCCCAGGUGUGGGCCGCUACACUUCAUGUGUGGCGAAAUUAGAAGUUUUGUGUGUAUUUUGUGACUUUUGUAUCGUUUCAUAUAAAAAAAAUUUUAGAAUUUC
This is a long non-coding RNA of Dermacentor albipictus, 549 nucleotides long. RefSeq lists it as uncharacterized. NCBI's taxonomy places the organism in Eukaryota, Metazoa, Arthropoda, Arachnida, Ixodida, Ixodidae. The record is from RefSeq and is a predicted model, not a curated record.